GGCCGUGCACAGCCACUAAUCGAUAAUACACGUGUACACGACAAUACAAUUAUGCUGUGUGUACCACUUGUCUCCACUGCAAAUACAAUAUCAUCGGGCGAUUCGACACGUCUACCAAAAGUACCACGAAUCUACGAGAAUCUCACGGCAAAUCCCGAUUUGAGUGUGACGAUUCAUUCGAGUGCACAGGAUUUCCGAGAGAAUUAUCAAAUUGGUGGAAAGAUUAACUAUGAAUAUCUCGGAGGAUUUGAUCAAUAUGUAGGUGAUGAUGUUUUUUUAUUGAGAGAUAAAUACGAAAUUCCAUUACAAUCGAUAUUUUUUGACUGAAAAAUGUCUGAAAAAUCAAAAAUUUUAGCUAAAAAUUGAGAAUAUUUUUGUUUAAAAAAAAUCAUUGAAAUUGAUUUUUUUUUAUUCCAUAAAAAUCUCGGAAAAGUCAAUUUUCAGUCAUAAAUCUUCUGAAAAUUAUCCAAACAAUGGGAUUUUCUGAAAUUUUAGCUUAAAAAUUGAGGAUUUCCCGGUUUUUUCAGAGAAAUUCCAUUACAAUCGAUUUUUUUACUGAAAAAUCCUCUGGAAAUUAACAAAAACCAAAUAAAAUGCCCUAAUUUUUUUUUAAAUCCAAAAAUUGUUGGAUUUUUUCAGAAAAAAAUAUUUUUUCAAUUGACUGGUGUCCAAAAAAUAUAGAAAAUUCAAAUUUUCCAAGAAAAAUAGCCAAAAAAAUGUAAUUUUUGUCUAACAAAAAAAUUGAAUAGCGCAAAAUUAAAUUGUCGUUUUUUUUAAUUUCCCUCCGGUUUUGAAAGGAAAAAAUUCCAUAAAAAUCGAAAUUUUUUGACUGAAAAAUCCAUGAAAACUCGAAUUUUGAGUCAAAAAUCCUCUGAAAAUGCUCCAAAAUAUGAGAUUUUCUGAAAUUUCAUCAAAAAUUAAGAAUUUCACGGUUUAAAAAAAAUUCCAUUAAAAUCGAUAUUUUUCAAGUGAAAAAUCUCUGGAAAACUCGAUGUUUGAGUCAAAAUUCGUCUGAAAAUGCUCCUUUAAAUUGAAAAAUUGAAAAAAAAACCGCCCACAAUAUUUGCAGAAUAUCCAAGUGUUCGUCCAAGUGUCAUCUCUUAAAUUCACUGGAAUGAACGGUUACCCGGAUCCAGAAGAUCGUAUAUCAAUUGACUGGGGAUGCUCGAAAUUGUGGCCUUGUAAGCCGAAAUCUCAUCACAAAUUCCGUGUACGCUUCCAUCAAGCACAACUGCUGCCGAAGAACGAUCGAAUUACGAUUGUGGCUGUGGCGAAGGAUAAAACUAGCGGAAUUAUUCACAUUUCGCAG
This 1309-nucleotide small RNA is filed under the name Caenorhabditis elegans. Its description in RNAcentral is "Unclassified non-coding RNA Y71G12B.46". The record is from RNAcentral. Lineage: Eukaryota; Metazoa; Nematoda; Chromadorea; Rhabditida; Rhabditidae.